CAAUUCUUGUCGGAGUGCCUAGCGCAGACUUCCCAAAAGGAAAUUUGCCAGGCUGAGACCGUUAAUUCGGGAUCCGCGGAACCUGAUCGGGUUAGUACCCGCGAAGGGAACAAGAGUAACUUAUUU
This 126-nucleotide non-coding RNA is filed under the name Serratia sp. (in: enterobacteria). RNAcentral's name for it is "Serratia sp. TPP sequence". It matches the Rfam family "TPP riboswitch aptamer (THI element)". From Rfam's summary of the family: Vitamin B(1) in its active form thiamin pyrophosphate (TPP) is an essential coenzyme that is synthesised by coupling of pyrimidine and thiazole moieties in bacteria. The previously detected thiamin-regulatory element, thi box was extended, resulting in a new, highly conserved RNA secondary structure, the THI element, which is widely distributed in eubacteria and also occurs in some archaea. Analysis of operon structures identified a large number of new candidate thiamin-regulated genes, mostly transporters, in various prokaryotic organisms. Lineage: Bacteria; Pseudomonadati; Pseudomonadota; Gammaproteobacteria; Enterobacterales; Yersiniaceae. The record is from RNAcentral.